GCCUCUCGGCUCUCUGUCCCCCCUGCUCUUUCCCCCAUCUCCAUCUCCAUCCACCACGAAGCGACGCGCAGGUCCUCAGCCACCCGCAUCGGGGACGGCAAUGAGAGGCGGGACGAAGGUGCCCUGGGCGCUGGCCCUGGCGCUGCUCUGCGUGGCCGCGCACUUCCAGGGCGCCUCCUGCCGCGGCGGGGGUGGCGGGAGGGGAGGAGGAGGCGGGAGGGGCGGCGGCGGCUCAGGAAGAGGUGGCGGAGGGUCGGGACGAGGCCGCCCCGGCCGCCCGUUCCUCGGCGGGGUGGGGGCGGGCGCCGCCGCCGGCGUCGGCGCGAGGGCGGCCGCGGGAGGUUCGCACGGGCACCGCAACAGCGCUGCGGGUGGCGCGGGCGGGCGUGGCGCGUGGAGGGUGGCCGGAGCCGGCGCCGUCCUCGCCGCCGCAGCGCUCGCUUGGUGCUGAUCGCACCUGCUGAAGGCGUAUUCCAGAUUCGAGGGGUGGUUCCUCAUUUUUGGUGUGUACUACUAGAGGGCGUGGUUGGUAGCACGAGUUCAUAGUAGUAGAACAGUUGGUUGAUGCGUUUGUAUGUACUACUACGCUGUUCUGGGAUCUGAAAAUCGAAGAUUGUGAUUAGCUGUAGGACGAGUUUGUGGUAGUGUUGAGUAAUUGUCACGAACUGAAAAUGCAGAGGGGUUGAAGGCCUUGUUGCCGGCUUGCUUGUGUGGUACUGUACAUUCAAAUCUGCGAAUGCUUUUCUGGUUUCUGUAACUUGUGUGGUAUGUCCAUUGCUUCAGAAAUACUUGGUGCUGAAAUAGGCCUGAGCAUACGUGAGGGAGGUGCCGUAUCCCGUAUCAGAUACGGCUAAGAUACAUGAUAGAUACGUGAUGGAUAAUGUAUUCAGAAUAAAAAUAUAUACAGUAAAUGUUGAUACGUGGCCGUGUCACGUAUCGGACUGAUUUUGCGAUACGGCCUAGCCGAACAACACCUCUUAUCCACACACCUGCUACCCUACCG
Molecule: long non-coding RNA, 1003 nt
Filed under: Setaria italica (foxtail millet)
Lineage: Eukaryota; Viridiplantae; Streptophyta; Magnoliopsida; Poales; Poaceae
Description: long non-coding RNA (SITA_LNC002041)
Source: RNAcentral